RNA transcript from Hylaeus anthracinus, 5935 nucleotides. RefSeq lists it as uncharacterized. The transcript has 15 exons. The record is from RefSeq and is a predicted model, not a curated record. Lineage: Eukaryota; Metazoa; Arthropoda; Insecta; Hymenoptera; Colletidae.
GGUAAGUGUGAAUGUUGACACUUUUUGCCGUCAAUGGCGUACAAUAGACGCACCUGUGUCGAUGUGUCAGAGAAAUUUUAUACUAUAUUGGAUUUUAUAUGACGUUACCAUCAGGCAGUGAAAUGUAAUUAUAGGAGUGGCAUUUACGAAUUAAUUUUAAUAGAUAGUAGUGUCGUAGCGAACGCGAGCAUUCUAAUUACGGAUGUUUAAAAUUAGAAUAUUCAAUGGCUGUGAAUAUGGAAGUAGAAAAGAACACCUCCAAAGAGGUUGACACUCAACUUUUGGCAACCAAUUCGAUGGAAUUUCACGAUGGCAUUCAAAAAAAUGAUGAAAAUGUUAGAGAUCUUGAGAAUUCGUUUUCGUCGCUUGAAAAUAAAACGUUCGAUAGCGAGGAAUGCGAUCGUACGAUUAUAUACGCACAACUCGAGGAGCCUAAAAUUUACCCGAAUGAUUUAGACGAUAAUCGAAUAUCAAAUAAUGAAAAACAGAAAGUAAGCAUCGAAAAUAAAGAGAAAGAAUUGUCACAGAACAAGAAAACUUUAAGGAAUGAUUACAAGAGUCAUCAAUCAGAAGCAACAUCAGAAAACUCCAAUGAUAGACAUGCAUCUCAAGCACCGUUAGCUUUUACAAUUGACUUUGGCAACAAGGAAGUUGAUACAAGCAAAUAUCAGAAUUUAUUUGAGAGAUAUAAUGCUCGUCAUAAACGAAAUCUUUCCACAUCUAAGGUAGAAAUAAAUACCAAAAAAACUGGCACAUGUUCUUCAAAUUUAAUGCAAAAACAAAAAGUUUCUAGUACACAUUCUGAAGGUUACUUUAGUAGUGAAGAUGACACAAGAAGAAAAACAGAUCAAUUAUCAAUGAAACUGAAACAGCUAGGUUCAAGAACAUUUUUAAAAUCAUCUAACACUGCAACAAAAUCUGAAUCUGCUAUGAAAGUGACAAAUUUUCAGAGUACACGAAAUGCAAUGACUAGAUCUUUUGAACAGUCAAAACAAACUAGAUUCGCUGAUAAAAAUCUUUCUUUAGAACUUGGUUAUACAGGAAAAAUAAAUUCAACACCAUAUUGGGUGCCUCAAAAAUCAGCUACCAUAAAUGAUUUAAGUAGAAUUCAAGCAAAUAAUUAUGAUGAUGAAGCUGAAAAGUUAUACACAAAGAAUAUAGAUCCAGAAGAUGAUUAUGAAAAUUCAUCUGAUAAUGCUUCUGAAAAAGUUUGUAACAUCAAUUAUGGUAGGAAUAAAAGUAUGAAUGCAAAAGAACACAAUUUAUCUAGUGUUAGUUAUACAAUGGAAGUGAAUCCAGAUGAACUGGCUGAAACGAAUAUAGAUGUUUUUAAUGUCAGUAAUGUUGAUGGAGGAUCAGAUGGUGCAGUUAGUGAAGCAGGAACAUACACAAUACACAAGGAUUAUACAGAUGAAGAGAAAGCAAGAAUGGAUAUUGAUAAAGUGUUUAGUGUUGGUAUUUUAACCGAAGAGGAGAGCAAUGGAGCAUGUAUUCAUAACUUUAAGAUGAGUGUUUCAAGGGAUAACAAUACAUGGAUAUCAGAAUGGGCUACACAAGUAGCAGAACAUAAUUCUCUUCCACCAGCGAUUGGUGGACCGACCGGUCGUACUCCUCCACUAAGUCCUUCCAAGAUACCGUCUCCUAUUCAUACUAGAUCUCAAAGACUGGCUCGUAGUCGCAAUGAACAAAGCGACAGCAGUUUAGAUGCGGAAUCGUACUUGCGAAUAAAAGAAAGAGUAGGUUUAAUUUCAAAUCAGCACAUAAUGAUUGACUCUGGUGGAGAAUCAGAUGAUGACACCAGUAAUAGCUAUAAUACACCACCGCAUAGUGCACAACGGACACCAGUGCAUGGUACUUUAACAAGGCGCGGGAGUUUAUCUGAAUCUCUUUUUAGAAGAGCCAACACCAGCGAAAAUAGGAGGAGCAUUCGCAAAUAUUUGAGUUCAAACAAAUCUAAGACUGAAGACACAAGCGCAGAAUUAAGUAGUCCGUCCAAAGAUUUUGCUUCCCUUCAUUUAGGAAGGCGAAGUAGUUCCUUGGACAGGCGAGAAUGUACAUCCGAUACAACUGAAUCUAAUACGUCCAGGAGGAGUAGUAUGAAGUAUUAUCGAGAUGAUGAAACUACGUAUACAAAUAGCCCUGUUUUGAGCCGCCUAAGACCUUCUACGCCGAAAUUAACUAACAGUCCAAUCGUAACUCGCAAGACGGUAACAAAAAUUGUUAAUUCACUGGUGUUAGAAAAAACUAAGCACCUGGCGAAAUCUUCUACAGAAGCUAAAAACAUUGGAUACUUUACUUGUGUUGAAAACAGUCCAUACAUGUUAAGGAAGUCUAAUAGUACCGCAAGUUACCAUGAAGGAAGUAUCGGCCUGAAUAAUAAAGAAAUGCUAACGAAAACGAACAGUGUUCUUCAAAAUAGUCCGAAUCUUCAACGCAAUCUAAAUAUCCAAAGAUCGUGCAGCAAUGCAAAUAUCAGAAAUGUAAAGUCACAGAGCCACUUAUCUCGUCGUAGUAGCUUUAACAGUAGUGACAUUGACAGAACGUCUUCAAGAGGAAGGUGUGUUGUUGCAUCUGACAGUAGCAGCGAGGCUGGUGAACAGCAAGUUAAACCUUCACUAGCUUCGAUAUCAUCGGGAAUUAAAUUGAAUCGAGCUUUUAGCAUACGAAGAGCUAGAUUAAAUUGUGAAUCCGAUACAACACCAAAUACAACUCCCGAAGAAAGACGAAGGCGAGCACAAAGCGAAGUAAAAUCAACAAUACCCGCAAAUAAACAACAAAAUUAUCAUCGAAGUCGUGCAAGCAAUGUAAACGCUCAUUUCAAAGAACCUUUAAAAAAAUCAGAGCCUAUAAAACCUAGAACUGUAUCUAUAUCAAGAACUGACAGUACUAGGAUUAGUAUAAGGGCACCGAAAUCAUCUCACCAUGUUUCUAUUACACAACGACCUAAUCAGAAAGUAAAUAAAGAUCAGAAAUCUGGUAGAAGUAAUUCAACAUUAACAUCAAAGGAAGUCGAAUUUCAGAAUUGGAAAAGGAGGAAAAGUUAUGAUCCAAUGAAGGCAGCCGCGGAAGGGAGAAAGAAAUUAAUAGACAACUCAAAAAAACAUCACAGCACAGAAGACAGUUCUGGCAAUCACGAUAAUUCUGUAUUGCGGUCAGCAAGUUUUCAUGGAACUGGUGGUGCCCUUUCAUUAGCUAAUGAAUGGUCAGACAACGAAUUAAAUUUUACUGAGAACGACAAUCAAGUACCUCCACCAUGUAGUCCACAAUUGAAAAGCGAUAGCGAUCUAGAAACAUCGUAUUACUUACAAGCAACGCAAAAUGUUGUAUCAGCUAUGUCAGCUCGUAUUACAGACUGUCAUUCACCUUUGAUAGAUUCAGAUAAUGAAAGCGAUGAGGAUACUAGUCAUAGUCUGCAUAAAAAUACGUCGAAAACAUUAAAUCAGCCUAGCGAUACAGAGAGUAGCGACGAUCGCCAGCCCUGUACACACAAUACUAUUUCAAACACUAAAUAUAACAGAGCAUUCAGCUUACGCAGACCAAGAGUAGACUCACAAGUAACAAAACUACCAACAAAUGUAAAUAAAAAUAAAUCGGUCGCAUCCGAUACUCGUGGAAAAUCUGAAUCUAUUACAAGUAUUAGUAGAACCGAUUCUGGGCGCUUCAGUAUGCGAUUAAACAGAACUUCAAAUACUGGUUCUAAAGCGAAACCAAAGGAAACAAAAAAAUCUGUAACACCUAACGCAAGGGAAGUUGAAAUGCAAAAUUGGAAACGUCGUAAAAGUUACGAUCCUAUGAAGGCCGCAAUGGAAGGAAAACGAAAAGCAGGUUUAGCCAAAAAGAAUGUGAAUGCAAAUCUUUCUCCAAGGACCGAUAGCGAUCGAUAAUCUAAUGAUAGAGACCAUCGGUACAAGCAAGUGGUACGAAAAAGACUUGUUUGAUUUUGCGAUUUAGAUUUUUUUAAGAGUCAUGUUGCAAGAUCACGUAGUUUCCAUGGUUCAUCAGGAUUUGGAGUUAGCGAUUGGAGUGAUGAAGAGUUGGCUAUAUCUGCGGACGAAAGUACCGUCUAUUAAAGGUCACGCUAUUAAUGAUAUUAUAUGAAUGAAUUAAGUUACAAGAAUUUCAACUAUAGCAAUUAAUGUACAUAAAGAAUAAGAACAUCAGUUCUUACUAAAUUGCUCUAUGAAUAGUUCUAUACAUUUAAAAUUAUAUUAAAUGGAGAAGAAUGUUAAAAAAUCUUUUCUAUAUUAAAAGAUUCUAUUUUUUGCAACUUUUAACAUUAAGAAACUAUAGAACUAUAUGGCUAUCAGUACUGUUUUAAGUUCAAGUAUCACUAUUUAAUCAAAUUGAUGUCCUUAUAUUUUAGUUUUUCUUUAAAUGUAUUCAAGUGUAUCAUUGAAUGCUGUAUGAAUUAAGACAAGAGAAUAUGUCAAAGUCUUCUGAAUUUUGUGGUAAAAAUAAUAGUUCCAAAGUUAGGGCCUAAAGGUAAUGAAUACUAAAUAUAUAAGAUCAUGUGUGUAAUUGGUUUAAUUGUGAUUGGACCAAUCAUGUAGCAGUGUAGAGGUAUUAUUAUCUUGACAUUUUAGUUUUUAGUAGACAUAACUAUUAUUUGUUUUUUGAAGUAAAAUUAUUAUUCAUUGCAUUAUUCGUUAUAGUAGUUUCAGGAAACAAUUGUUUACAGUAUUUUAUGUUCUCAAUUUACUUUAAUUGAUACUUAUUAUUUCUUCUUGUGUCUCGUUGAAAUCAAUAUGUCUCGAAAAUGAUAUGAAAAAAUUAUUAGUUUCUAUCAACUACAGAAUUAUACAUAUUGCUUGAUAACAAAUUAGGAAAGAUAUUAUCAUCUAUCAUUGAUUCAUGUAUGAGCUCUCUGCAUUUCAACAUAAUUAUUGAUGUAUCUAAAGAAAAAAUGCUAUUUGCUCCUGAAAUGUGCAAUAAAUUACUCUAAUUACUUUUUACAUCUAAUAAUUUAAUAAUUAAUGUGAUCAUAGUAUGCUUUAAGAUGAUAGUAUAUAUUGUAUUAUAUUUUAUUAUUGAUCAAUUUAAUUGUAUAUCGUUUCGUUUACUAUGAAUUCUGUAAAUAUUAGGAAAUGUUUUCAAUUAAUUGUAAGAACAAAUAUUGAUCUAAAUAAUCUAGAAAUUAUAUUCAGCUCAUUGAUGUAUAAUUAUAACAUUAUCUAAACAGUAAAUUUUAAUAUGCACUUGUUCAAAAGGUUUAUGUUGUUUGGUCGCGCUUCUUGUUGAUGUAUUAUAAAUUUAUCAGCAAUUUGAGAUACUACACAAUUUAGAUAAAUCAAUUAUUUUUAUGCACUUCCACGUACAGCUGGUUAUAUUGUAAUUUUUACUGCAUAAUUUUUGAAAUAAACAUUAUUUAUUUUAUUUGUAAUCUUAAAAAUCAAUAAAUCUCUUAAAGAGAUUAUUCAUAUGUUUGACAGGAUUUUGGAAACAACACUUCGUGAGAUGUAUAAAUAAUUUAUGCAGUAAGAAACAUCAUAUCAUAUGAUACAUAUGAAAAAAGAAAUAUCGAUAAAAUGCGAUGUUGUAUUUUGUUGAAAGCUUAUUUUCAGAAAGAUUUCAUUAUUUAAAAAAAUGUAUGUUCUGCACAUUAUUAUUAUUGUCAAAAUGCACUUGUAUGUUUUGUUUCAAUAACCUAAGAAGGUGCUAAUUGUAAACUUUGUUUGAUUUAGUUUUCCAAAUCCUACCUUUCCACUUAGUCAUAGAAAGUUAAGUAAUUCAUAAUUAGUGCGAUUAAUGUUUAAACGUUAAUUGACUGUAAUUUAGCAUGAUAUAUUUUUCAACCAUUUGUAUUAUUGAGGGCGGGAAGGCUUUUUUCGAAUACGAAUAAUUCUUCCAAAAAUGGUGCAAAACAAAUUUUACGUUAUAAAACUAUGUUUAUACUAUACAGAUUUUUAAUAUCGUGUUAAAGAUGCUUACGAUGCAU